CCUACGGGAGGCAGCAGUGGGGAAUAUUGCACAAUGGGGGAAACCCUGAUGCAGCCAUGCCGCGUGUGUGAAGAAGGCCUUCGGGUUGUAAAGCACUUUCAGUAGGGAGGAAGGUAGUGUAGUUAACACCUGCAUUAUUUGACGUUACCUACAGAAGAAGCACCGGCUAACUCCGUGCCAGCAGCCGCGGUAAUACGGAGGGUGCGAGCGUUAAUCGGAAUUACUGGGCGUAAAGCGCAUGCAGGCGGCCUGUUAAGUCAGAUGUGAAAGCCCGGGGCUUAACCUCGGAAUUGCAUUUGAAACUGGCAGGCUAGAGU
RNAcentral lists this ribosomal RNA (317 nucleotides) under uncultured bacterium. RNAcentral describes it as "bacterial SSU rRNA". It matches the Rfam family "Bacterial small subunit ribosomal RNA", at positions 338 to 647 of the family's 1533-position model. The record is from RNAcentral.